CCUACGGGUGGCAGCAGUGAGGAAUAUUGGUCAAUGGCCGGAAGGCUGAACCAGCCAAGUCGCGUGAGGGACGACUGCCCUAUGGGUUGUAAACCUCUUUUAUAAGGGAAGAAUAAAUGCUACGUGUAGCAUGAUGCAUGUACCUUAUGAAUAAGCAUCGGCUAACUCCGUGCCAGCAGCCGCGGUAAUACGGAGGAUGCGAGCGUUAUCCGGAUUUAUUGGGUUUAAAGGGUGCGUAGGCGGUUUUUUAAGUUAGUGGUUAAACGACGGGGCUUCACCUUGAUUUGCCAUUAAUACUGUCAGACUCGAGAUCAGACGAGGUAGGCGGAAUGAGUUGAGUAGCGGUGAAAUGCUUAGAUAUAACUUAGAACUCCGAUAGCGAAGGCAGCUUACCGGA
Molecule: ribosomal RNA, 397 nt
Filed under: uncultured bacterium
Lineage: Bacteria
Description: partial 16S ribosomal RNA
Rfam family: Bacterial small subunit ribosomal RNA
Source: RNAcentral